This is a long non-coding RNA of Balaenoptera acutorostrata (minke whale), 1193 nucleotides long. RefSeq lists it as uncharacterized. NCBI's taxonomy places the organism in Eukaryota, Metazoa, Chordata, Mammalia, Artiodactyla, Balaenopteridae. The transcript has 3 exons. The record is from RefSeq and is a predicted model, not a curated record.
UGUGUCAUUGUAUCCCUAGGAGUUCAGUUCCGGACUGGGGCGCAAAAUGGAACAAGUUCUCAACGUAAAGCAUAAUAAGGAGACUUGCAAUAAUUAAGCGCAUUUUAUUUCAGUACCUGUACGAACUGACGAGAGAGAGAACACGAACCUCCCACUAAGUGUAUAAUUGGUUUCACCCAAGAAGAAAGGUCAUGUGAGGACACACGAAGAAGGUGGCAAACCAGGAAGAGAAUUCUCACCAGAAACCAACCCUGCUGGCACCUUUAUCUUGGACUUUCAACCUCCAGAACUGUGAGAAAUAAAAAAUACAUUUCUGUUUUUAAGCCACCCAGUCUGCGGUAUCUUGUUAUGGCAGAGUAGAUUAAUACAGGAGUCAUCAUUGUGGAAAUGGUUUCUAAAGCCAUGCGUCUGGGUGAGAUCUCCAACAGAGUGAGCAUAGACAAAGAAGAGGACAGGACAAAGGACUGAGACCCCGGGCCCCCAACAUUAAGAGACAAGGAACCAACAAUGGAGCCUGAGAGGGAGCAGCUGGUGAGCUACUUUGAGCUGGAUUUCUGUCACUUACAACUGAAAGAGACCUGGCCAAUUCCAGGCAGAAACACAGUGUCAUGGGAAAGUUGGAAAGGGACAGUGGUUGGAGUGAUGAAGACUUGUCCGGGAAUCCUUUCUUGUGGAGGUGGGUUUGAGCAGCGUUUUGAAAAAUGAAGAGGAUUUUGAUGCAUAAAGAAGAAGCGAUCUUUCCAGUGAGGGGAGCAUCUCAGGCAGUGGGACAGUGCCCGGAAUGGCACAGUGCAGCUGGAGAGAGGAGGGGGCUAGAGAAGUGGUGGGCAAGGGGCUGGCAAGGAGGGAUAUGCCCGAAUUGUACAGAAAUUCAGUCUAUUCCUCUGCCUGUGUCCUCCUUCUGUGGAAGGGUGCCCUUUAUCAGUGAAUUUACCCACAACCAUUUAGUGAGCACCUACUACGUGCCAGGUGAGGUAGCAGUGGGAAACACAGGCAAAGUCUAUGCCCUCCUGUAGCUUCCGUUCUAGUCAAAAACUCUCUGCAGAGUCUUUCCUGACCAUCCCUACCGCAAGGUGCCUUAGCUGCUUCCUCUUCUGUGUUCCCUCAGCCCCCUGCCUCUUCUACCAUCAGAGCCCGGAGCAUGCUGUCACACAUGGCUGCUUGAUUUGGUUUGAUUUUUUACAAGUCUCUCC